UUCUUUUUUUUUUUUGAAGGUAAAACAUCGCGCAAUUUCUACGACUCGGCACUACAUUGUAGCGAUCAACAGCGGGUAGCCGCGAACCCUACCCCGUCACGGGCCGAAAAUUAUUGGGGGAGCCGGCGUUUUUGCGGCCGAUAUAGAAACGUAGGGGCAUCGCUGCACUUACCGAUCCAUGAGCGGAACGUGCCUUCCACGGCUGGGCGGAAUUCGCCGGUGUCUUCUCGCCGCCGCCGGCCAUGGGCGGGCCCCGAGAGGCGCCGAAGCGGAAGUGCAAGAGCAAGUCGGUGGGUCGGUGGCUUACGUUUUCUUCCGCUUUGGUAAAGCGCCUUGCGAUUUUAUUGGUGGUCACGGGGGUUUGUGCAAGAAACAAAACCGACUCGGAUGCAAUGUGGGCUGCUGGGGCUAGAAAGGUCUUUUCUCGAAGCCCAAGCCCAGUUAAGAAAGCCCAACAGUCAAACUCAUCAUGAACUUCACCGGCCCACGGCAACGGCGUUGCGAGUUGCUCCGUUUGGCGUUUGCUCUGGGGCAAGCCCCGCAUACGACAAGUAUGCUGGGGCAAAUUUCCUUCAUAUUUAGAUGAAGCAUUUGAACUCCCUUCACAAAUCAAAUUCUUGCCUCAUCUUAUUCACAACUAAACAAGCGCAGAACUUGUGAACUUGUAUCAUUUGGUUUGAUUGAUGCAUAGAAUAUGAUCCUUUUAUUUGGUUGAAUGAAUUGUAUUAACCCAUUUAGAAUCAAGUCAUUAUUUUACUGGAAGUGAACCAUACAAGUAAAUAGGUUCAAAAGUAAAUAGGUUCAAAAGUAAAUAGGUUCAAGAUCAUCGCGUGCAACCAAACACACUCGAUCACCGAGCUAAUUCAUCACCUUAAUUAAACAAACAUGUAACUCCGUACUACUUACGUAAGCAAUUCAGAUUUCUGAUUCUCGUAAGAGCAAUUCAGAGUUCUGAUUCUCGUAAGCGCGGGAAACGACGCGUGCAUCAGCUCAAAGCUGCGAGGCUGGACCCCGACGCGACCUCCUCCUGACGCCGAGCGCGGCGAGCAGGGCCCUCAGGACGCGGCCCGCCGGCGGGCACGGCGACCUCGCGCGGCACCUCCCCUUCUUCAGCUGGGACGAGUGGUACGACGGCGGCGGCGAUAUCGGCGGGAGCUCAGCAGCAUCGAUGCCUGCGGCCAUCUCGUCGGCGGGCGCGACGGAAGCCGUGGCCGCGGCGCUCUUGGGCGUGCCGCCGGGCGCGACGGCAGCCGUGGCGGCGGCGCUCUUGGGCGUGCCGGGCGUGGACUCCCACAGGAACGGCACGGCGCCGGGGCGCAGGGUGUAGUACACCCGGAACGACGCGGUCGCCAGGCUCGACCGCUCCAUCGCCGCGGCCACCUCGCCGCCGACGCUGCCGCUUCUCCUGGAGGUGAUCGGCCGCCGGAGAGCGAGCUGCUUGGAAUCCAUGAGGUCAAGCUUAGGAUUCAGUGGUAGGAACAAUUUCACUGGAAAUACAACAGUGUGAUUGCAAGCCUGCGACGAUCAAGGUGCUGGGCGAACCUAGUAUAGCUCUGAUCACGGAAGCAAGCUAAAGCUUGGGACUUUAUAUAGGCAGGGACGGUUUGACUUGUGGCUAGGCUGGAUCCGGUGUGAAGCUGCUGGCCUGGCUCGGCGCGGAACAUGAGGUUCUGAGAGGGAGUGAGUUGGAAGCUAGCGAGCUCCGAUUUGAUCAUUGAUCACGAUUACAAUCCACAAGCCUGUGCCUGUAGCAGUCGUGAAUAAUGAGCAGUGGGCAGUUGAUGACGCGGCAUUAAUUUAAUAACAAGCUUCAAGAGGAAACGGGAUGGAGAUGGGCGGUCGCGCUCAGCAGGCCCACUUACUGACAGGACUUGCCUUGAGCAGCACAGAUGAUGAUGCAUGCGUUCAGCCAUUAUUCAGAACCAGCGAGUUGUGUUUCUCGUCCUCCUUUUCGUUUCUUUUAUGUAGUUGUUGAAGAGGAGGCCGACUUGAUUAGUGAGAGAGGGCAGCGCGCUUGGACAUUGACGCGCGCUCUGGUCGGUUUGUUUGCUCAAGGUUCCUUUCCGACAGUGUCAUCUUACCUCCUCUAGAGCUAGAUGAAGCAGCAAUUCCGGCCAAGUGUUCAGAACUUUUUACUGUUGUCCCAAAUGUAGGAUUGGAUGAGAUCCUGGAACAUUGCCGAACGAGAAGAGACGGAUGCACUGACCAACGACCUGAAAGUCUGAAACCACGCUCACAUUGUUAUCAGGAGUUGAGGGUUCAUGAGGUGUCUUUUUUUUCUGAAGUGGCAGGUACACUGCACAGGAAGGUCAGCCAGUAAGAGUGAAAGGCCAUAGGUUUUCUUACAGGUCAUCCAGCAGAAAGGUGUUCAGCUAGCUAGUAGUUGGCCCGUUGCUAGCUGAACCUCUUGUCUGUUGCUGAUCACUUGUAAUUUCAGAAGGACUUUUUGUCUCUCUUGCGAUGCGAAUUCGUCAUAAAAUUCAGACAAUGAGAUCGUCCGUUUGUCCAUAUCACACUCCAGGAUCGACGCUCUCGGCCGAUCGGUGACAAAAACGUCUCACCGGGCAUGACUGAGAUCAAGCUACUGAAUACAUAAGACACUUUGUUUAAUUAAUGGAAUAGCUCCGGUAAUUAGUCUACGUCGCCACCGGUUAGGUUAACUAACCAUCAUAUUACCCAUCGCUCGCUGGAAUAGUAGCACAGCAUCGACCAACCAGUAAACUUGCAGGCAUAGGUCUUGUCGUGUCUCACUGCCUGACAGCAGUCUUACUAGUAUACAGAAUCCUACCGAACCCUGAAAAAACUGGACCUGUUUUCAUACAGUGAACUGAACAUGCUUUAAAGAGUUGCAGCAUCAUGCUAACUAACCCACUGCAGUUUUCGGAAAUUGUGGGGCCUGCUCCCUUCCUGCUCAGUCACUGAUGUGCCCUCGCAACGACGAUUGACUGCUUCAAAAUAGAAGCCGCCGCUUUAUACGUACAUAAAAGUUCUCUACUCAAAGCUUUCCCGUUGCAACACUAAAUUUCAGUAUACUUGAAAAGAAAAAAAAAUCUGUCUUAGAAAAAAAAUACUUCGUGAUCAAAGCAACUCCAGCAAUGGCUCCUACUUCAAGCUCCUACUUUAUUGAGUAGAGGCUGCCCUAAUUUUCUGGGACUCUAGAAUUAUAGAAUAUGCACAUAACUCCAACAAAAGCCCCUACUUGUAAGUCCCUACUUUUUACAUGACAGGACUCAUCUGUGGAUAACUCUUUGUUUUCUUUUAUUUUUCUUAUUUUCUUUUAUUACCUUAUCUAUUUCUAUCGGCCAGUGCUACCGGCUCCCACGAAUGCCUUCGUUCGUGUCGCGUCCCUACACGCCGCGCCUCCUCCUACUCCGCCCGUCGCGACCCUCCACCGUCCCUCCUCCUCCUCAUCGAAUCGGAGCUCGAGGAUUGUCCCUCCACGCCAUGCCUCCUCCUUCUCCGCCCGUCGCGACCUUCCACCGUCUCUCCUUCUCGUCAUCGAAUCGGAGGUUGAGGAUUUGUCGAUUUGAGUGGAGGCGGCCAAAAUCGAUCGAAUACACGGAGAGGCAUUGGUGGCCUGCCGCGCCGCCUCCGUCUCCGCCCAUCGUGACCCUCCACGGUACGCUGCUUCCUCCAUCACCCCUCCUACUCCUUGUCACUGAAUCGGAGCUCGUGGAUUUGUUGAUUUGACUGGAGGCAGCCAGAAUCGAAGGCGACCGUUGAAUUGGAGCUCCAAGUCGGCCAUGGGGAAGGGCAGGAAGGCAGCCCCUUUGUUGUCGACACCCGUGCGGAUCCAACCUAGGGUGGCUUGGGCAAAGGAGUGGCGAAGAUGGUGAGGCGCAGCUGUCUGUGUGGUGGUGGAGCGGCUACCGUCGACGCGAGUGAGGAGCGAUGGGGAACGUCCCGACGGCCGUAGGCGGAAAACCAAAGAAAUAGUCGAGCAGGGGCUUCUCUCUACUCGUGGGAGAAGGGGCUGAAGGGAGGAAAGUAGGGGGCCUACUAGAGUAGAGAUCCGAGUAGGAGUCCUGCUGAAGUGCGUUUUUUUCACUGCUGAGUAGGGACUCUGUUGGAGUUGCCCUCGAGCCUCUAUUUCUGUACAAACAAUAGGAAUUUCUCCACGAAAUUCUUUUUUCCCCCUUAUCAAACCGGCUUAUCCUUCGAAAUGUGUGAGUUGGGCCGCUAUGUGUCAAUAUUUGCUCGUGGCCCAUAGCUGAGGUGCCAGCCCAUUUGAGAAGGGAAGGGUUUAGGGGAGAACUGAAAACCUCACUUCGCCGGCGGCGAAUUAGUUGGCGGCGGCGGGAGGGGAAACCACGUUCUUCCUCUCGCAGUUCUCCGUGCCUCUCCAGACCUCACCGCUGGCUGACGGGCACGACAAGCCGCCUCCGUCCACCGAAGUCCUCUCUACCUCCCGUCGCCCCAGAUCGCCUUCCUCCCUAUCUUCCUCGCCAUCUACUGCUGCUGCUGGACUGGCGAGGGGCGGAGAUCCGUCCAGCCCUGGAUUUACUGCUUUUAUGUUCGUGAGUAACUCCAGCUUUCAUGGAUGGGUGUUAUUGGGUGUUUUCCCCCGCGACUAGAUGCUCCUUCCAAUUCUCCAUUUCAGUUGGUUACUGAUUUGUCUGCUGCGUUAUACUUAUAUCUAAUCCAUCAAAUUCAUGGUUCGAUUAGGCUGUUGGUCUUCGGCGUGCAAGCUCAAUUGAGUUGAGACCAUAAAGAUUUGUCACCCGAGGUGCUAGUGCAGCGGUAACAAACCCCAUGACCCGCGUUAAGUCUGCCCCUGGUGGGCAAAGAAAUUGGAGCAGCGGCGGGUCUACCAGUGGAAGAAAGAACAAGGAAAGAGGAGAUGAUAGAGCAAAAGGAACCAGGGUUGCAAGUUGGAACAAUAGCAAGGAGACGGAAGGACACAAAGGGCGCCAAGGAGAUGCGGGAUCAACAAGGCGUUGGAGUGAGGGAGUGCCUCGAGUUGGUGAGAAGAAGAGCAUGUCUGGGUUUGACAGGAGGAAAAGGAAGAUCGACGGCGACUCAUGGGAUGAUGAUGGUGGUGGCAAGAAUGUUUCGCCUUCCAAGUCAAAGUUUACCAGAAAGACUGCUUCCACCAUAAACCGUCGAAAAGUUGUUCCUGGAAAAGAUCAUAGAUUGAAGUCUCAAAGUUUGUACGAGGAAGAUUCACGUGCAGGGAGGAGGAGUACAAGCAAGGUUUCUGAUAUUAGAGGGAUCAAGGGUCGAUCACCGCUCAGUAACAAUUCUGGAGCAUCAAAAGGGAAGAAAUUUGAUGCAUCUACAGAAUUCAGGCGUACAAAAAGGGGUGGAGCGAAGGAUGUUGCUUUGGAUGAGGAAGUUGAAGAUAACAAGAAAUCAGAUGACCCAGGUCAUAUUACUGAAGAAGAGAAACCUCGCCCUCGCCUUACUCGAGUGCUGGACCAGAGUGGGAAGAAGUUAAAGCCUGCUAAGAAGGAUGUCGUUCCUGAUGCUGAGGAACCUUCUCCUCCUAAGAAGAGAAAACGAAUGAAGCUUGAUCCUUAUGACACUUCAAACAAACGGAUUGAAGAUUCUCCUCCUGUCCAGGAUGGUGCGAAUUCUGACUUUUAAUUGUUCAUAUGACUUAAGCUUAAUCUUAUUGCUUAAUGCACUACUCAUGUAUAUUCUUCUUAGUUCUAUUGUUUCAUGUGCACAACCAAAUAAACCCUUAAACAUAAAACAUGCCUCGUUGUUGAAUAUUUUCUUUAUCUGACCUUGAAAUAGUGUUCUACUUCUUAUCCCUAAGCGUAACACAUGGCAUAUUUUUCAUUUUUUAGGGAUAUUAAUGUCAGGCUAAAGGAAUGUAGAGAAUCUUUGUAUUGGUUUUCCUUGUACCAGGGUACAAUAUUGAAAAGAUUUAAAUAUGAUAUGAGAACAGACAUUUCUAAAAAAAAUGAACUAAAUAAAUAAAGAGGAUAUUCAAAGGACGCUUACACAUUGGGACCUUUUACAAGGCCAGUUUACUUUUAGAUUGGAGAAGCGUGCGAUUUGAUAUUUGAUCCUGAACUCCUGAAUUCUGAAAAAAAAAAUGAAAUAUGUGUUUACUUGCUUCGAUUUUUCAUGAGUAUUGUCUUUCAUGAAAGACAUUUAUGUUGAAUAUGUAAUCUGGUGCUUUUGUUUUGAUAUGUUCCUUCUGUCCUUUUGGUUUCUGUUUAAAGUUUCCAGAGCAGAGAAGGUUAUGGUGAAGUGUGCACCUGAAGAGACUGAAAUGUCUAUAAAUGCAAAAUUCCGUGCUAUACAGCCAGCUCCAUCAAUCCUUUCAUAUGUUGAAGAUAAUGUACACAUGAAUUACCUCUUAUCAACCUUCUCGCAGACUUCAGUUAUAUGUGUAACAUCCUCUUACUGUUGUUUGCAGUUACUAGGUCGUAGGCGUCUAAAUGAGAUAAAAAAUGCUGGCUACAAUGUCAAGAUUUCUGCUCCUUUGGAUAAUGUUCCCUUCUCAACCAGCACAGAACGUGAGCGCAUAGAAGAAAGUGUAAGAACUAUGCCAUAUAAUCAGUGCCAGAAAAAAGUCUCUUCUACUUUUGCCUUGGGGUGGUUAUAGAGUCAUAUCUACCACACAGUUAUGAUGUUAUCUGGCACUUUGUUGUGCGAAUUUCAAGCUACAAUUAGUAUUUGUUGUUCACAUUAAAUAAUUGACAGGUGUUCAGAAAUCAGCUGGAAUUCUUUGCUGCUGCCAAGAUGUCUUCAUCAUUCCCUCCUCCUACACUUCCAGAGAUAGCAUUCGCAGGUAACUGAACUACUGACGGAAACCACAAUGUUGUAGUUGGGACAUUUUAGGUGUAUCAAAUGUCUUUGUUAACCCAGUGAAAUAUUAGGUGUAUCAAAUGUUGGAAAAUCCUCACUCCUAAAUGCACUUACAAGACAAUGGGGCAUUGUGCGAACAUCAGAUAAGCCAGGACUUACUCAGGUAUGUGUGCGAUGAACCUGUGCGAAGAGUGGCGCACAGAGUGUUGCUUAUUUUCUUAUAUCGGUUUUGGGCGCUUAAAAUUUAUUUAUUAGUAUUAAUUAUUAAAUGCAGAGUAUAAAUUUCUUUCGGCUUGCAUCGAAGUUAUGCCUUGUUGAUUUACCUGGAUAUGGAUUUGCUUAUGCAAAGGAAGAAGUUAAGGAAUCAUGGCAAGACCUUGUAAGUACCUUGAAAUCUUAAUAGUAGGCUUAAAAUGAAUCUUGUAAUGCUGCAUUCUGCGUCAGUUGAUCUGCUAUUCUUCCUAAAACAACUGUUACAAUUUGUAGGUGAAGGAAUACGUUUCUACCAGGGUUGGCCUAGAAAGAGUGUGUCUUCUUGUGCACACUAAACGUGGAAUGAAGCCAUUGGACUAUGAGCUUGUAGAUUUAAUGGAAAGGUGUGCCUUUCUUGUUCAUUUUAGUUUCAAAUAGUUCAUACUUUUGCAUGGCCUUGAUGCAAGUACAUCAUAGUCAGUAAAACAAGAAUAAUUCAUUAUUGUAUGCAAAUUUCCUCAGAACAUUUUAGUUGCCUCUUUGAAUUAUAUAUUUAUACUAAUGUGACCUCUGUUUCUGUAAUUGACAUUUCUGUGCAAUUGUAGGCACAAGACACCGUACCAAAUUGUACUGACCAAGACUGAUUUAGUUUUCCCGAUAGAUGUCGCUCGCCGUGCUGUGGAAAUCCAAGAGGUUAUUUUCCCACUCCAUCCUGUUAUAUGCACAUUUCAGUUUAUUACCUAACAGAAUUGUUUGCACACUCGACUGCAGAGUCUAAAGAAGAAUAAGUCAGUGGUAAACCCAGUGGUGAGCUCUUGAAUUCGCCUCUCUUCUUUUACCGAAUGUGCACUCUUUGCUUUUUUUUAUGAAAAUACAUUGUCGUCUCAUGCACUGAUACUUGUUGAUGUAGAUGAUGGUGAGCUCUAAAACAGGAGCUGGCAUACGCAACCUGAGAGGUGUGCUUGGAAAAUUGGCUCGCUUCAUCAAACCUUAGCCAAGCGACUGCAAGUUUUGGACACUGCAUCAAAGGAGGCUAGCUAAAGCAUUCCUAGGUAGGUUAGGAUUCGGAGGCUAGCUGUAUCACAGGCUCGGAUUUGGAUAUUAGUGAACUGUUGUCAUUUUGAGGGGAUUAAUGCCAUGUAGAGAUCAGAUCACAUUCCCGAUCUACAUAAUUCCGUCAAUUGCUUAAUUCCGUGAAAUAACUGAGGUUUCCACAUUUGGAGAUAUACGGUGCUCACAAAAGCCUACUGGUGUUUUGUUGGCUCUUGCUGGUCACCGUACAUCCUUUUAUGCAUGGCUCCUUGAUGUAGACUGUGGAGUACAUUUUCGGUGAUGAUUUAUGAGUCACUCACAGAUGUUUAUGUUCUGAGGAAAAGAUGUAUCACUGGCCGUGUAAAUUCUGCUUUAAUUCAGACUCUCUUCAGCGCUGAUCUGAAACGCAUGUUCCUGUUCAGUUUAAGGCACGCAUAACUUGCAACAGAAUGUACCAGUCUCUUCUCAUCUGCACCAAAGUGCGAACACCAAUUGCCCGUUUGGCACUACCAAUUGCUAAUUUGGCUGAGACUGUUGUGGAAAAUCCAAAGGAGGCUGCGGUUUUCUCAGUUCCGGAGAUGGUGACAAACUGCAUCCAUAAAAAUCCAGUGCCCGGAAGCCACACGACGGUCACACACACAGGCACCAGCUCAGUGAAAAGACGACGAGAGAGGUGAGGGGGGGAGUGGGGAGGUCGGAGAUGGCGAACGGGGAAGGGAAGGGGGAGACGGUGGUGGUCACCGGCGCCAGCGGCUUCAUCGGCUCGACUCUCGUCCGCCGCCUCCUCGACCGCGGCUACAACGUCCACGCCGGCGUCCUCAACCCAGGUCAGAACGCAGCAAUGUCAUGGUCUCGCUUUCUUCGGAUGCGGUGGUUAUCAGAACGCGCGGUGGCGUGCAGAUGACAAGGCGGAGACGGACCACCUCCUCGCGCUCGCCGCCGGCGCCGGCGAGGGCCGCCUCCGCAUCUUCCGCUGCGACCUCCUCGACCGCGCGGCGAUCCUCGACGCCGCGCGGGGCUGCUCGGGCGUCUUCCACCUCGCCUCCCCCUGCACCAUCGACCCAGUCAGCGACCCUCAGGUACCAACCAUUCCCCCGUCGUCGCUGUCCUCUCCCUCCUCUACCCCAGACUGACCUGCUAUGUUUAUUUGUGACCCGCAGAAGCAACUGAUCGUGCCGGCGGUGGAAGGGACGCUGAACGUGCUGCGCGCCGCCAAGGAGGCCGGGGGAGUGCGGCGGGUGGUGCUGACCUCGUCCAACUCGGCCAUCAUGCCCAGCCCAGGGUGGCCGGCCGGCGAGGUCCCCGACGAACGCUGCUGGACUGACAUCGACUACUGCGAGAAGAACGGGGUGAGCCUACCCAUCGCUAGCGUAAUCUAGUUUCACCAUGCCGCACGAUGUGAUCAGCUUGGGAAACUCGGUGAACACCAGCGCAGAAGAAGGAUGCGGGAUUUGCAUCGCCUGCAAAGCUUCGAUUUCGUCAGUAAUUCCGCUGAUCUCUGUCUCUCAGGUCUCAGCUCAGGUCACGUUUGCUUUUGCGUGUAGCUUUGGUACUCUGUUUCGAAGACACUGGCAGAGAAGGCGGCGUGGAAGUUUGCAGAGGAGAACGGAGUAGAUGUGGCCGUGGUUAACCCGGGGGCUGUGAUGGGCCCGAUAAUUCCACCAACCAUCAAUUCUAGCAUGUCCAUCCUUCUACGCCUCCUUCAAGGUAAGGCUUAGGCACUUGUUUGAACUCUGAAUGCUACUUUUCAUUCAAAGCAUGACUGGUAGGCACAUACAUGCAUCCCAACUCCCUCUCUAGCUCCGCGCAUCUCGGGCGCACCCCGCCGACGGCUAUCCCGACCCCGGCAUCCACCAACCAAACCGCCGGCGACCGGCCCGGUCCCGGCAUCCACCUUUGCCCAACGCGCCUUCUCAAGCUCGUAUGGGUAGCUCCGGAUCUGACGAAGGACGGGGGAGGGGGAGGGGAGGCGAAGAAGAUUCUGCGGGUCCGUCGGCAGCAAUGUCUCUAGCAUUGCGGUCGCCCCGGUCGCCAUCCUUGAAUCCCUUGGCCCAUCCCUACGAGCGGGCGACCCGAGGGGCCGUCAGGGGGACCCCAGACUGGCUGAGGUACAGUGCCUCCUUUUCGUCUUCCUUGAAUGGGUCGCAGUCGAGGUCGCCGUCUGCUGCCCACCGAAAAGGGAAGGGGAAGGCGGUGGCGAUGGACAUCUCGCUAGUCACCCAUCGCUCCGUCCCUCCUUGUGGUGGUUUCAUGGCAGAUGCCCGGAGGAGAGGGCCUGCAUCCGGCACCUCGGCUGGCCGACCUAGGCCGCGGAUGCUGCUGGAACGCGAGGCCUCGGAUGUCGCACAUGCUUCAGGACGCGAGUUGCAUAUCCCCAACAUCAGUGACGAGGGACCUUCAGGUGAGGGCUGGGUGGAGGUCCGUCGCCGUCGGGGACAACACAGAGACAACCUCGGCCUGCAUCCUGCCCCUCGCUCGGUCCCGGUGGACCUGGUGGGACGAUGCUUCAAUUGCUUCGCCACAGACCAUGUCGCUGCUGCCUGCAGAAACCCAUCCCGUUGCCUCCGCUGCAGACGGGAGGAUCACCGGUCGCUUCCUCCGACGCGACAAGGUCAGCCUAUUCUCAGUCUACUGGACAUAUUGGCUUCCCUCCAGCAAUUUGCGCACCGCCAUCAUCAGGUCCAGAGGACAUGUCUAUCCCCUCAUCGCCGGCGUCACCUAGGCCCUAUGGUGAUCCUUCUCGCCGUUCGGCAACUGAAAUGUGUGUGGUACCAAGGUCGCAGCAGAUUGAAACUUGUGAAUCGCGUCUCUCGUCCUGUGCUCUGGUUGCGAUUAUUGGAGGUGCGCGCCCGUCGGUCUCUGCCAUGCAGGUUGGAUGAAUUCUCGAGGAAUUCCUCAAUGUCAUUCCUGAGGAAUAUUCUGUGCAGAGAUCGGACCCUGAUGACCUCUUGGUUUAGUUCAGUAUGCCGGCGGUAGCUGAACGGAUUCUACACUCUCAUUUGCUGCCGGAAGCAUCGUUCCAGCUGAUCUGGAGAAGAUGGCGCUGCCAGUCCAUGGCAAGCCUGGACUCAAUGCAGUUCAAAGUGUUGGUUGAGCUACGAGGGAUCCCUGCACACGCCCAUAAUUUGGAUACUGCACAUAUUGUUCUUGCUUCUGCCUAUUCCGAGGUGGUGGAGGCCCCGGCACAUCUUGCCGGGAACAAUAAUGCAGUUUUGUAUCUUGCGUGCUAAUGCAUUCAUCCGGACCUUGUCCCGAAUGAGAAGUUGAUCUUCAUCCCUGAGCCGCCGGCGCCGUAUGUUGAGUGCGGCCUCUUCCUGAAGCCUCAUGAGCUGAUUCACUCCAAGCAUGAUGGGUUGUGGUACAGGGUGUGCAUCAGGAUUGUGGAGGUACAAGAUUGGAACAUCUCCAGCGAUUCAUCUGACGACGGCACUCCGCCGGACAACUACGAUAGUUCGGAAGAUGAGGACUAUCCGGGCUUCUCACAACGCAGCAGAAAAAAUCCAUGGCCAAAGAAGACUCGGUUCACAGAUGAAGCAGGGGGCUCUGGUGGUGGACCUUCCCUUGGUCCUGGCUGGGGGCUGCCAUUCUCCAUGUUGGUGAGGACAGGGUACACGAUGGUGGCAAUGACGGCGACAGCAAGCCCCCCAGAACUGGCAUGGUCGCUGCCCAUGCCUCUGCCGUUUGGUCGCUGGGAGCGUGCCGUUGCUCAGGUGGGCCCACCGAGCGGUACAGCUACACUAACAGUAGCGGCUGUGUGCCUGGUUGCCUCACCCCCAAGCAGCGGCAAGGCGGAAAGUGCUCAGGAUGUCAUCAUCGCUGCUUUUGCUCUGAGAGAUAGUAGAACCAUGUGGGAUUUUGACCCGAUGGUGAUGGAGGUGGUCCUAGAUUCCCGGAGGAGUGCAAGACACCCACAUGUGGACAACACCCCUGCAUUAUUCGGGAGACAAUCCCACCUGGGUCACUGCGAGGGGGGCCAUCGUCUGCACAUGACCCGAUGAGGCUGGAGCGGAGUUGUCUCCCGUUUCGAAGCCGCAGCCAAUCCUGCCCAACACAGCUCCGUCUGAUGGGCUGGGCUAGGAAAAGGCAGCAAGUGGGCCGGGAGCACAUCUGUUGGCGAUUGCGGCUGGGCUGGCCACACAUGAUGCCAUUCAGGAGGAUGAACCAGACUUCCAGGUUCCAGCAAUGGACGCCGGGUUGAACAUCCCUGCGCCGGUCGAACACGUUGACGCGCAAGCAUCACUGAACCUCCACUCUGAUUCAGAUCAUGAGGCAAUCAACUUCGAAGUGGUACACUUCGAUGAUGCUCCGGCUCCUGGUUUACAUCCUACAGCACAUAACAAUUUCGUGACCCUUACCAGGGGCUCCACACAUACACUACCGUUUCAUUUCCCCCCGGAGACCUCUAUGCAUGUUAAGAAUGCUGCGGCUAACUUUGCACGUUCCAUUUGCAGGGCGAGAUUGCCGGUCACUUUGCAGCGAACACCGCCCAGGCACAAGGCCCGCACUCCUCCGAAUACAACACCGGCGAUCAGGAGAAGUGAGAGAUUGGCCAAGAAGUCUCGCCAUCGAGCGACAAACUGGCACUUCAAGCACAGAACGUGCUUAUGAAAAAGUUGGGCAUCUCAUCAUCUGCCGGGCCAUCUGUCGGGCCACUAGACGCUGCAGCCUUCCAGCGCUUCCUGGAGGUCUUCACCGCGACACUAUCCAUCUCCCAAUGCGAAGCCCUUGACGAGCUGAUUCCUGAUGGUCGGCCGCUAUUCAGGGCGACGAUAGCGGAGAUUGAGCCCUGAGCUCCUCCCUACCUGACUUAGCAACUUUGAUCGCUGAUAUAUGUUACUAUGAUUGCUGAAAACAUGUUGAUGUGGAAUGUUCGAGGGCUCAAUGCUAGAGCUAAGCGAAAUGUCGUGCGUGACCUGGUCGCCCAGGAGCGUGUCGCUAAUUACGUUACAAGAAACAAAACUUGAUGAUUGUAAUGAUGUGUUAAUUAUGUAGUUGCUAGGAAAUGACUUCAACUACUAUGCGUUGCCUGCGUCGCACACUUGUGGUGGCAUAAUUCUGGCAUGGCGACGAGAGGUCUGGGUAGCAUCUAACCCAAUGUUUUGCGAGAACUCCCUGACUGCUAAGGUAAAGCUUCUGGCAAAUAAUGAGGAAUGGUGGUUGACAUGUGUAUAUGGUCCCCAAUCGGAGGGGGACAAAAUACGUUUCUUAUCUGAGCUUUGUGAAGUGAGGAAUGGAUGCACCGACUCCUGGAUGGUAUGUGGCGACUUCAAUCUCAUAUAUAAGGCGAAUGACAAGAACAACUCACGACUUGAUCGAAGAAUGAUGGGUCGCUUCAGAUGCCUGAUUGAUGAUCUGGAGCUCCAGGAGUUGCAUUUGCACGAUCGCCUUUUUACAUGGAGCAAUGAACGGUUGGAGCCAACCUUGGAACGCAUUGACAGAGCAUUUGUCUCCGAGGAUUGGGUGUGGACUUUCCCAGAUCAUAACUUACGUGCACUGUCAUCCCAAUGUUCAGAUCAUGCCCCGCUUCUCCUGCAAACCUGUUGCGUGUUUACCUCGUUCAAACGUUUCCGUUUUGAAACCAUCUGGCCGAAAUACGAAGGCCGCAUGCAAAUUGUGGAACAAGCCUGGACAUGUCCAUGGCUGGAAGCCGACGCCUUCCGCACCUUAGAUUACAAGCUUCGCAGUACGGCGGUCGUGCUGAAGUGAUGGAGUGCCAAACAUGUAGGUAGCGUUCGGCUCCAACUAGAAAUUGCCAAGGAGCUGGUGCUCAGGUUUGAUGUGGCUCAGGAAACCAGAACACUAGCACAUCAUGAACAAACUCUUUGCAAUAAGAUGAAGCUCAAAUGCUUGGGCCUUGCAUCUCUACUACGGACCAUCAUGCAUCAAAGAUCACGCAUCACCUUCUUAGCGGAGGGUGAUGCCAACACAAGGUUCUUCCACCUACAGGCGUGUCAUCGCAGCUCGCUCAGGGUGGGCCAUCUUGAUGUUGUACAUGAAGAAGCUAAAGCUGUAGCAAUCUUCCAUCACUUUGAUGCCCUGCUUGGAUCGGCCUCCACACCAACAGUCUCACUGGAUUUUCAACGCCUGGGUAUUCCAUCUGCUGACUUGUCCUCUACUGAUCAUUGUUUUUCGGAGGAGGAGGUUUGGAAAACGAUUCAAGAGCUUUCACUAGAUAAGGCUCUCAGCUCUGAUGGAUUCACGGGUUCAUUCUACAAAAUAGCCUGGCCGGUCAUUAAGCAUGACAUCAUGCGCGCCUUCCAUGCUCUCUGGUGCCUUGACAGUCGCAGCCUCCACCUGGUCAACCCGGCUUACAUGGUUCUACUUCGCAAGAAGCCUGACGUAGUAAAUAUUGGAGACUAUCGUCCGAUUAGUCUGAUCCAUAGCUUCUCUAAGCUCUUUACAAAGGUGCUUGCCAAUAGAUUACCUCAUGAAUUGGACAAACUGGUUCGUCACAACCAAAGUGCGUUCAUACAAGGGCGCCUUUUACACGACAAUUUCAGGGCUGUGCAACUAUCAACUAAACUUCUCCACCGACGAAAGACACCAUGUGCGUUGGUCAAGGUAGACAUCUGCAAAGCUUUUGACUCGGUCGACUGGACCUUCCUGUUACGAAUUCUACGACACAUGGGUUGUACAAGACGAUGGAUUAAUUGGAUUAGUAUGUUGUUAUCCACGGCAAGCACUAAGGUCAUCUUGAAUGGAUCCCCAGAUGGGAGAAUUUGCCAUGCCAGGGGUCUUAGGCAGGGCGAUCCAUUGUCACCCAUGCUCUUCGUCCUUGCAAUGGAAGCUCUGAAUUCCAUGGUCAGGUUGGCAGAUAGAGAGGGGCUUUUGACGUCCCUAGGCAACAAUGCCAUACAAGAACGCACUUACCUCUACGCAUACGAUGUUGUGUUGUUCCUAUCGCUAAUGCAGCGGGAUCUGAUUGUCACUGGAGUGAUUCUGGAUUUGUUUGGUGGUGCAUCUGAUCUUCAUACAAACUUGGACAAAUAUCUCGUUUCAUCAAUUCAACGUGAUCUUGAACACACUGCCAGGUUGAUGCAGUUCUUUCCAGGAUGCCUAGAGCCUUUUCCAUGCAAGUACCUGGGGAUCCCUCUAUCUACUAAAAGGUUGUGAAGAAAUGACCUUUUGCCUCUAGUAGAUAUGAUUAGUGGAGGACUACCGACAUGGAAGGCAAAAUUGAAGAGCAAGGCCGGUCGGGCAGUUCUGGUUAAGGUCAAAAUGUCGGCCAUACCCAUUCAUACAGCCAUUGCGAUCUCCCUCCCUCCCCCCCCCCCCCUCCCGAGUCAUCAAGAGAAUUGACAAACGCAGAAGAGCCUUCCUGUGGAAAGGAACAGAAAUGGUCUCAGGGGUUCAUUGCUUACUAGCCUGGCCAAAGGUUUGCAAACCAUCUGCUCUUGGAGACCUUGGGAUCACAAAUCUCCAGAUCAUGGGCUAUGCACUUCGUAUGCGUUGGUUGUGGCUGAAGAAAACAGACUCCUCAAGAUCUUGGUCUGCCUUACCUGAUUCAGUGGAACUGAGAUGCUUUUGUACUCCAUGUCGGUACAAGUUGGAGAUGGGAAACAAACUUUGUUCUGGACAGACAGGUGGAUUGAAGGCCGCUCCAUUGCUGAGAUUGCUCCAUGCCUGCUCCAGGCGGUCGGUCCCAAAAUUCGCAAGAAAAGAACGAUCUAUGAAGGGCUACAAGAUAGAAAAUGGGUCAAGGAUAUCACGGGCACUCUAAUGGUUCAGGUUCUGCUACACUACCUCAACAUCUGGGACAAAUUGGAGAUGAUCACGCUAGAUGAUGUCGCCCCAGAUAGGGUGCUUUGGAAAUGGAUAGAAGAUCAUCACUUCUCCACAGCGUCGGCAUAUAGAGCUUUUUUCAUCGGACAAUAUGAAAUACCUGGAGCAAGGAUCUUGUGGAAGUCGCGGGCACCCGCUAAAUGCAAAUUCUUUAUGUGGCUCGUUCUUCAUGGCCGAUGCUGGACGGCAUCGAGGCGUAAGAGGCACAAUUUACAGGACGAUGAUACUUGCAUUCUUUGCAGGCAGGAAUCUGAAACCAUCAAUCAUUUGAUCAUAAACUGCUCUUAUGCCAGGGAGGUUUGGCACUUGUUUCUCUGACAAGUGAACUGGCAGACUCUAACGCCUUUUGUUUCAGAUCUUUCUCUGGCCGACUGGUGGAUGACAGUGAGGAAACGUGUUGACAAGGUGGCUAGGAAAUCUUUCGACUCAAUGCUGAUCUUGACUUCAUGGUCAAUCUGGCUUGAACACAACGCACGCACCUUCAACAGAAGAGAAAACAAUGAUGCAGCUGGUACUCAAGAUUUCUGAGGAGGCUUCUAUCUGGGUAGCUGCACGUUUCACUUGCCUAUCACCUUUCACUCCAUCUCUUCUUCCUCAUGACACGGGUAGCCUUGUAGCUUGGUCGCGGAAUGGUGCUAAUGUAAGUACUAAUUAGACUUCUUCUGUACAGUAGAUCAUCACCCCCAGAUGACACUGCUCAAACAUGUAAUCUUGCUUCUACCCUCUUAAUGAAAUACGUGCCAAGGCACGGUCGCGAAAAAAACUUUUCAUUCAAAAUACGAAAAUUUUGAGUUGUAGCCUCUGAUCAUGUCUAGCUUAGCUUACUCGUUACAUUUCAAAUCUACAGGUUUCCAAAUAGUGUUGACUGUUGAGAAUAUUGUUACAGAUAGUCUUUGACCACUUAAUGUUAGCUUCAAAUUACAUGUAGUGUUGAGAAUAUUGUUCUUUGUUUGCUCAAUUUUGCCGUUACCAAUAAGCUAAACGAAACAUUGAAGGACACCAUUUUGGCCAUGCAGGUUGCACAGAGGAGUACAGGGAUAUCUUUAUUGGAGCAGUCCACGUGGAAGACGUUGCCUUGGCUCAUAUCCUGGUGUUCGAGAACCCAUCAGCAUCCGGGAGGCACCUCUGCAACGAAUCCAUCUCUCACUGGAGCGACUUCGCGGCCAAAGUCGCCGAGCUCUACCCCAACUACAAAGUGCCCAAGUAAGCCACCAUCCAAACCUUUUCACAAUGAAUGUCUGCGAAUAUCUGGGGAUGCUUGUGUCUUCUGCUGUUGAAAUCUCUGCGUGUGCUUGAGACUUUGUGUUGCUGCUUUGUGCACAGGUUCCCCACGGAUACCCAGCCUGGGCUGGUCAGAGCGGAGGUGGGGUCGAAGAAGCUCAUCGCGCUGGGGAUGCAGUUCAGCUCCCUGGAGAAGAUCAUCAGGGAUGCAGUGGAGAGCCUCAAGAGCAGAGGGUACAUCUCCUGAUGGCUGGGUAUAUCUCGUGAAUCGUGAUCGUGGGGUACUGUAAUGUCUUCGUGGACCUUGCUACUGUACCAUCUUAGAUAAUAAGGUACUGUUGGAACCGUACAGUAUGAAACUAAGAUCCAAUCAAGUUCAGAAGCAGGGAAUUCUCAAAGGUGACAUCGAAUUUCAGUUUUGAUUAAUGAAGUUUCAAGUUACCUAUCAGAAUGUAAAAAAAUUCAAGGAGUUACAAAUAUAAAACUUGAUGAUUUAAUAAAGAGGUUAAAGUAGGCUAUCACCAACCGCAAAGUCUGAAUCUGAACCAUUAACCACAAAGUCUGAACCUGCACCUGAAUCUGAAUGGUAAAGUUCAUCCUUCACAUUGGAGAAUCUUUAAGGAGUUACAAAUACUAAACUUUCUUUUCAAAAGAAAUAAAUACGAACUUGAUGAUUCAAAGAGAUUCAAGUACGCUAGUUGCACCAUCAUCAUCAACCACUAAAAAUCUGAAUCUGAAUCAGAAUAGUAAAGUUCAUUCUUGGAACUGAAAUAUGCUGCAGCAUCUGAAUUCAGCAACGGCAUUCUGAGCACGUCAUGCACGUUCUCGGGCAGCUUCUGCAUGAUGCGAACCAAGAACUCCAUGAAGCAGACGAUGUCCAGCGUCGCCUUCUUCCCUUUCCUCUUGUCUCUUUCACUGAGAGGCUUCAAGGCCUCCAUUAUUUCCGCCGUGCAGUCUUGGAGCGUCGGCCUCACCUCUUCUUGGCUGAGCUCGCCGACGAUGCUCCCCGGUGACACGAGCGUCGGCUUGUAACCCCAACACAACGCAUAGUCUGACCCCUCCGGUGACAGGUUGUACAGCAACUUUGCCUUGUCCAUCGCCUUGGUUGCGACGCGAUACAUGUAGAGUUUGCCGCCGCCUCCGCCGCCGGCCACGGUGUGACGGAUGCAAGUACAUGAAUAGCACGCCGCCGCAGUCCCAAACACCGGUGAUCGAGGUCUUUUGUAAAGCAGGCCAUCCAUCCUAGAUGACACUGCUCAAACAUGUAACCCUACUUCUUUCCUCCUAAUGAAAUACGUGCUAAGGUAUGAUCGUGAAAAAAAAAAUCAUCGUCGUCGUCAUGACGAAGAAUGAUGAGGCACCCCCGCUCCCACCGGCGUUGCACGUUGAGCAGCCACAGUGCUCUGCUGCGUCUAUCAGGGGCGGACCCACGCCUAGGGCCACCCGGGCCGUGGCCCUAGUCGCGGCCCAGAAAAAUCCACUACACCUCUUAAUUUGUGGCCCAAACUCAAAGGCCCAGACCCAAAGCAACAGGGCACAGCCGCCGCUUUUCAAUUUACUCUCUAGAGCACAAUGGCAUGAACAUCGACGAGGGUGAGAACAUCCUGUGCCACAAAUUACUAAACUUUAAACUAGACCCAGAGAACUUUCUUCUAACUAGACCGAUCUCAGAAGAGGAAAUCAAAAAGGUGAUUUUCUCGAUGGAGAAAAAUAUAGCACCUGGUCCUGAUCAUUUGCUAGUGGAAUUCUACCAAUCUGGCUGGAACAUCAUUAAAAAGACUUGAUGGAUAUGUUUCUAGAAUUCUGAGAACAUAAUCAGGAUAUUAGUAGACUGACUACGGAGUUAUCACCCUAAUUCCGAAAAUAAAGGAAGCCAAUAAGAUUCAACAAUAUAGGCCGAUUUGCCUUUUAAAUGUGAGCUACAAGAUAUUUAAAAAAACACUUAUGCUAAGAUUUGAAGAGUGUAUGAGCAGAAUAAUAAAUAGAUGCCAGACAGCGUUCAUAAAAAGGGAGAAAUAUCAUGGAUGGUGUUUUAAGCCUGCAUGAAAUUCUCCAUGACUCAAAAGUUAAAAAGAAAGAUGGGGUUAUCCUGGAAUUAGACCUUGAAAAAGCGUAUGACAAGAUAAGUUGGGAGUUUUUGUUUGAUUGACUAGAGCAAAGAGGCUUUAGUGAAACCUGGUGCAAGUGGAUUAGAGAAGUAGUGUUGAGUGGUACGCUAAGCAUAAGAGCAAAUGAUUUGCCGGGAGAAUACUUUAAAAGCGGCAAGGGGUAAGACAAGGGGACCCUCUGUCUCCCCUUCUCUUCAACCUAGCAGCGGAUACCCUGACUAAAACGAUACAUAAAGCACAAGAAAAUGGCUAGAUAAAAGGCUUAGUGCCAGAAUACAUCCCCAAUGGGAUUGUUGUUCUGCAAUACGCAGACAACACGAUCCUGUGUAUGGAGGCUAAUGAGGAGACUGUUCAAAACAUGAAGCUCCUGCUAUACAUCUAUAAAAAGAUGUCUGGGCUGAAGAUUAACUUCAAUAAGAGCGAAAUCAUAAUGGUCUCCCAAGAUGAUCAAAAAUCGUUGACCUACUCUGAUAUGAUGCACUGUGCUAUAGGAACUUGGCCCAUUAAAUACUUGGGUGUUCUUGUAGCCGGAAACAAACUACAUGUCAUUGAUUGGCUUUUGUUAGAUGAAAAAUUGCUAAAAAGACUAGAUGGAUGGCAGGGUAGCUCUUUGUUGAUUGUGGGGAGACUGAUCCUGAUUAAUGCUUACCUGAGCAGCAUCCCUGUAUACUGCAUGUCCAUGUACCUGCUUUCGAAAACAAUUAUAAAAAAAAUGGAUAAAACAAGAAAAAUGUUCUUUUGGAGGGGGGUACGAAGAGGAAAUACCACCUGGUGAAAUGGGUUAAAAUUACUAGGCCAAAGAGGAAAGGGGCUUUGGGAAUAAAGGAUCUAAGGAAAAUGAACCUGGGUUUGCUUUGUAGAUGGUAGUGGAAGAUUGAGAUGGAAGAAGGCCUUUGGCAAGCGAUUGUUAGGAAAAAAUUUAUGGCCCAUGGGGGAAUAACUCGAUUGAAACGAAAACAACUAAUUCCCCUGGGUGGAAUGACCUUUUAAAGUUGAAAGAUUUUUAUAUGAAGGGUAGAAUAAUGAAAAUAGGGAAUGGUAAGGAUACUGACUUCUGGAGGGACCCAUGGUGUGGCCCUUUGACACUUAAAGACAAAUUUAGAGAGCUUUAUGAAGUCUGUGAUGAACAAACUAGAAGUGUGGCUCUUAUGGCUGUAAGAGGAUGGAGAUUAUCAUUUCGGAGGUGGCUGGAGGAGAGAGCGCAAACUCAGUUGAGGCAACUGCAGGAUAUGCUAUCAACUUGUGCCCUCUCGGCUGAAAAAGAUAGGCCUAAGUGGAUCCGGGGGAAAUCUAGGAUUUUUUCUGCCAAGUCUACGUAUUCACAUAUGUGCAGUUCUGAAACUGAAUCUCCUCAUGCUUAUAUCUGGAAAUCGAAAAUCCCUCUGAAAAUAAAAAUUUUCAUGAGGUUGCUGCAGCAAAAUGCCAUUCUAAGUAAGGACAACCUGCUGAAACGUAGUUGGCAGGGAGACAAGAGAUGUUGUUUUUGCCUCUUGGAUGAAACUAUUGAACAUCUGUUCUUUGGGUGAUCCUUAGCUAAAUAUGUAUGGAGCCUAAUAGCUAUGGUAAUUGUAGCUCCUUGUAGGCCAACUUCCUUUGCACAGUUUUGGGAUUGGACUAGUCGAUCUAUGCAACAAAGUAUAAAUGUUCAUAUGGUUGGCUUAUCAGCAAUUUGCUAGGCGCUCUGGAAAGCUAGAAAUGCUUCUUGUUUUGAAAAAAAGCAAACUAAAUCUUAUUGGGCAGGUCCUCAGAAACCGGAAGAGAAGAAAAUCCUGGAGGCCGGAGCUGAUGCGUUGAAGGAGACGACACUGCACUUAAGAUGCAGGAACGGUGCUACUGCAGUGAGGAGUUGAUGUUUAGUUGUAAUUGUGGGAGCUUGGGUGUCUCAACCAGUCUGUGGUGCUGCUGGGCAAUAGAUAGGUGUUGUUGGGAGUUAUGGUUAGGUUCUGUCAGUUCAGUAUCUUCCUGGUGGGAAGGUCCCUUGUAUCUUUCUUCUUGGAAGGUCUUUUGUAGUCUCAGGGGUGAUUCGGUUGCUAAAAACGUUCAAAACUCCGUAAUUUCGUUGCUUCUAUAGCCCUUAGUGGAAAAAGGGCACAGCAGCCGCACGCUACAGGCUCGCUGUGUCUCUCACCGCUCGUCCUCGCCUCUGUUCGAGUCUUCGCGAGUUAUGCCACGCGGUCGCCGCCUCGUGCUUCGCGCCGCCGCCUUCGCCGCCUCAGCUCUGCCCACGCGCGUCGGCAGCCGACCGGCUCCGUUCCUCGCGCUCCUCUCCUCCUGCAGGCCUGCCCACACGCGCCGCUGCGCCAGCUGGAAGGAAGCAGGCAGGUUGCAGGCAGCCACCGCCGGCCGGAUGGAGGCUGCCAAGCAAGCGCCUCUCAGGUGUUUAUCUAAUUAUCUUCGAACCUCUCUCUAAUCUCCAACGAUUUGUAGUUUCAAGUUUCUAUUCAAUAUAUUAAUUGACAUUUUGGAAGUGCAAUUUCAGACUUAGAGUCCUAGACUUGCAAUUGGUAAUGCAAAUUGCAAAAUGAAGAGGAGCGGAACUUUAGCAUCUUAUUUCCCUCGUGUUCCUAGGUGUUCCUAGGUAUUUAUUUCUAUGUGUUUUCUUGACAAGCCAUUUAAGAAUUUUAGAACUUAUUAAAUGGUAAAAUUAUCUUGUUCGUCCCUAUUUAUUAGGCAUGGCGUAGACAGAGGGCGGGCAUGGCCAGGCCACCCUAUGACACCAUUUUUUUUCCACUGAAAAUUUUAAAAUUCAAAUAAAUUUCAAAUAUUUAACACAGUUGGCCUCCUAACAUGAAAAAAAAAAUCAGUUUCUAGCUCUACUCCUAUUAUUAGCCAUAUUUUGCGCUAAUUGACAGCUUCAUGUACAUACUCAUACCGUAUUUUGCGCUAAUUGACAGCUUCAUGUACAUACUCAUACCGAAUAGGAUAAUGUCUUAUUUUUAGGAUAAAUUUUCAAUCUAGAACAACUUACUUUUUUGGACGAAGGGGGUAUAUCCUGUCAUCUGCCCUACUUUUGAGUACCGAAUUUCAGACCUAGUCUUAACAAAAAGCUGGAUCCGCCACUGGCGUCUAUCGUACAUAUCCAGGCACGGACGGCCAGACACCUCCAUGAGCUUGGAGAUCGCGUGACGGGGCUCCGGCAAGCCGAUGUUGGUGACCGUCUCGCUGUCGACGUCGAAAGCAAGGAUCGCGGACUUGCUGACGUGGAGGAGGUAGAUCGUGCCGUCCAUGUAGAGCGAUUGGCCGGUGAUCUCCCCGACGACGCCCUCCCCCGACAACACGGUCCGUAGUCGCGGUUUCUUCUUCCUCUCGACGCCGCCGCUGCUGAGCGUGUAGACCAGCAGCUCCUUGGGAUACCUAACAAUGGGGGGACUGCUAAGGAGGAUUUUACUCCGCAUGCGCCGGCGUGUUAGGAGAAGCUUGUAUGUUUUGGUCGUGGCGCUGUAACCCAACCCUAGUAUGGCACAGUCGUCACGGGUGGAGACAGGGAUCGUCACUUCCUUCUCCUCGUCGGCGAUGGCCGGGUUCCAGAGGACGCACGUGGUGGGCCUCGGCUUGCCGCCGGCGAGCAGCACGACGCCGUUGCAUCGGGGCGUUGCCGCUGCCGAGACCUGCGCCACCAGCGACGUGGAAGCCGUGGUAGCCGGAGGCGGGACCCCGCUCGCCGCCGCUCCUCCGUACAUUCGCUGUCGCGACGUACGCGACGUGCGGGCGGGGCAGCGGCGGGGCGAGGCGGCAGUGGAGGGCCCUGAAGUCGGGGCAGCGCAUCAGGCGGCGGUGGUGCUUGGAGAGCGCCAUGGACGCGACCGCGGUGCGCGCUGGCACACGGGCGAAGAUGCUGCGGAGGACGUCGUCGCACAUGCCUGGCGUCGACGAUGUGGUGGCUCGUGUCGUCGUCGUCCUCGUCAUCGCGGCUGACCACUUUCUCGGCGCCGCCGCGACCUCGUCAUCUCUUGCCUUCCGCUUCGCCAUGCUAUCGUGAACAACUGCGUAGAUCGACUAAGUCAUCCCGUUUAGGAGCCAUAGCCAGCCUAUAUAUGAUUCGCCAAAAUGGAUCAGAAUGCCAUACAGAGGCCGCACGGUAAAAAUAUCUGUUACCCCAUGUUAAUUUGUUGCACAGUAAUAUAUAACGUGUGGCCAAGUAAAUAUGCCUGCCAGUCACAAAUCUUAUGCAGAAAAGGAUUUUUGAAUUGGGACCCAAAUCUCCAGGAAAAGAAAACACCGGCGCCUUGUAGCAGGGGUCCGUGGAGGGCUGGAGCCUGGAGACCAGGCUACGGCACUGUUUUGGCAAAUUGGUAGAAUUUUUUCAUCUAUAAUAAUAAUUUUUUGUGCACAAUAAAUCCAGGCUUAGCUUGUUGUUCGAGGUUGAUGCUUUGCUAAAAACAAUUCUGUGAAAAUACACCCAUCCGAGAGCUUGAGGUCAUACAUCCAAAAUUGCUAUAUCUUGCAGAACAGCCGAGUAAAUAUGCAUUCCAACUAGCUGCAGCGUAAACAAUGCGAGAAAACUGAUCGGAAGGCAUGAUAUCGCAAUAUAUCAGUGUAAUACAGAGAAACACAAUGAACAUGGACCGUACGAGGAGACAAAAAUAUUGUGCUCAACAAAUUAACAUUAACCAGAUACAGCAAUGUUGCUUUCUCGAAACAGGAAUAGUCUAUAAACCCAUCGGUGACAAAACUAAGCCCUGAAACACAUUCCUCAACU
Molecule: long non-coding RNA, 23796 nt
Filed under: Setaria viridis
Lineage: Eukaryota; Viridiplantae; Streptophyta; Magnoliopsida; Poales; Poaceae
Description: long non-coding RNA (SVIR_LNC010065)
Source: RNAcentral